GUCAGGGAAUUAAAGGCUUACGUGAUGCAAUUGCCUCUGGCAUUGCUGCCCGUGAUGGUUUUCCUGCCAAUGCGGAUGACAUUUUCUUAACCGAUGGAGCAAGCCCAGGAGUGCACAUGAUGAUGCAAUUAUUGUUACGGUCAGAAGAAGAUGGCAUUCUCUGCCCAAUCCCUCAAUACCCAUUGUACUCUGCCUCAAUUGCUCUCCAUGGUGGCUCACUUAUCCCGUACUACCUCAACGAAGAGACAGGAUGGGGAUUGGAGAUAUCUGAGGUUAAGAAACAAUUGGAAUCUGCUCGGUCCAAGGGAAUUACUGUUAGGGCACUGGUCGUGAUUAAUCCA
This 341-nucleotide unclassified non-coding RNA is filed under the name Hevea brasiliensis (rubber tree). The record is from RNAcentral. Lineage: Eukaryota; Viridiplantae; Streptophyta; Magnoliopsida; Malpighiales; Euphorbiaceae.